UGAGACUCUGCCUCGAUUUUUAAAAAGGUCU
Molecule: non-coding RNA, 31 nt
Filed under: Mus musculus (house mouse)
Lineage: Eukaryota; Metazoa; Chordata; Mammalia; Rodentia; Muridae
Source: RNAcentral